UGCUUCCGAAACUACCGACCUACCUCUCGAGCUAUAGCUCAGUGUUCCUAAACCCAAAUUCAAGGCAUAUUUCAACAGAAUAAAUGACGAUUCUAUUUAUGAAAUUCGAUAAUUUUAAGGUAAUUUGGAGGGAUCCGUUUCUUCUUUCCUCUCUGACUACCCCCUUUCCUCGCAACCUCUUCUGGGGAAAGUGCACAAAUUCUUGUUUAUUUGUCCUCUCAUCAGAGAAAAUGGGUAUUUCUCGUGAAUCUGUGUUCAAAAUGCGUGCCGCUAGUGCCAAGAACAAUUGAAGAAGGUUCGGAGGUUCUGAAAAUUGAAAAGGCAAGGAAGGCGAGGUAAAGUUGAGAGAAAAUGUAUUUUAAAGAGACAAGAGUAAGUAGUGCUGAGUACCUACUUGGGUUGACGCAAGUACACAACAAAUAGCAAUAAGCAGAUAAUUAAGCAUCAGCCCAUAAGUCUAAGUAAAAACUGAAGGGAUAUGUCUAAGUAACAUAGGUUAUGGUUGUUGCUGUAGUUGGAGCUGCGAUUACCCCUCUUGGAUGCUGCUUUUGUUUGGAUGUUGCAGCCUCUGUUUAUUUACUAUUUUUUAAUAAUAUUAUUGAGAUGUAAAAUUGGAUUUAGUGUUUGAUAAUAUGUAGAAUUGGAUUUGGUGUUUGAUAAUUUGUAAAAUUGGAUUUGAUA
Long non-coding RNA from Chenopodium quinoa (quinoa), 681 nucleotides. RefSeq lists it as uncharacterized. The transcript is spliced from 3 exons. The record is from RefSeq and is a predicted model, not a curated record. Lineage: Eukaryota; Viridiplantae; Streptophyta; Magnoliopsida; Caryophyllales; Amaranthaceae.